RNAcentral lists this ribosomal RNA (292 nucleotides) under uncultured bacterium. Its description in RNAcentral is "partial 16S ribosomal RNA". It matches the Rfam family "Bacterial small subunit ribosomal RNA", at positions 775 to 1067 of the family's 1533-position model. The record is from RNAcentral.
GGAUUAGAUACCCUGGUAGUCCACGCCGUAAACGAUGUCUACUAGCCGUUGGGGAUUUAUUUCUUUAGUGGCGCAGCUAACGCGAUAAGUAGACCGCCUGGGGAGUACGGCCGCAAGGUUAAAACUCAAAUGAAUUGACGGGGGCCCGCACAAGCGGUGGAGCAUGUGGUUUAAUUCGAAGCAACGCGAAGAACCUUACCUACUCUUGACAUCCAGAGAACUUAGCAGAGAUGCUUUGGUGCCUUCGGGAACUCUGAGACAGGUGCUGCAUGGCUGUCGUCAGCUCGUGCCG